Molecule: ribosomal RNA, 524 nt
Filed under: uncultured bacterium
Lineage: Bacteria
Description: partial 16S ribosomal RNA
Rfam family: Bacterial small subunit ribosomal RNA
Source: RNAcentral
UGGGGAAUAUUGGACAAUGGGCGCAAGCCUGAUCCAGCCAUGCCGCGUGAGUGAUGAAGGCCCUAGGGUUGUAAAGCUCUUUCAGCGAGGAGGAUAAUGACGUUACUCGCAGAAGAAGCCCCGGCUAACUUCGUGCCAGCAGCCGCGGUAAUACGAAGGGGGCUAGCGUUGUUCGGAAUCACUGGGCGUAAAGCGCACGUAGGCGGACUUUUAAGUCAGGGGUGAGAUCCCGGGGCUCAACCUCGGAACUGCCUUUGAUACUGGAAGUCUGGAGUCCGAGAGAGGUGAGUGGAACUCCGAGUGUAGAGGUGAAAUUCGUAGAUAUUCGGAAGAACACCAGUGGCGAAGGCGGCUCACUGGCUCGGUACUGACGCUGAGGUGCGAAAGCGUGGGGAGCAAAACAGGAUUAGAUACCCUGGUAGUCCACGCCGUAAACGAUGGAAGCUAGCCGUCAGGGUGCAUGCAUCUUGGUGGCGCAGUUAACGCAUUAAGCUUCCCGCCUGGGGGAGUACGGUCGCAAGAUU